This 443-nucleotide ribosomal RNA is filed under the name uncultured soil bacterium. RNAcentral's name for it is "bacterial SSU rRNA". It matches the Rfam family "Bacterial small subunit ribosomal RNA", at positions 27 to 478 of the family's 1533-position model. The record is from RNAcentral.
GGAUUGAACGCUGGCGGCAUGCCUUACACAUGCAAGUCGAACGGUAGAGUAGCAAUACUCGAGAGUGGCGAACGGGUGAGUAAUAUAUCGGAACGUGCCCAGUCGUGGGGGAUAACGUAGAGAAAUUUACGCUAAUACCGCAUACGAUCUACGGAUGAAAGCGGGGGAUCGCAAGACCUCGCGCGAUUGGAGCGGCUGAUAUCAGAUUAGGUUGUUGGUGACGGUAAAAGCUCACCAAGCCGACGAUCUGUAGCUGGUUUGAGAGAACGACCAGCCACACUGGGACUGAGACGCGGCCCAGACUCCGUACGGGAGGCAGCAGUGGGGAAUUUUGGACAAGUGGGCGAAAGCCUGAUCCAGCAAUGCCGCGUGCAGGAAGAAGGUCCGUUCGGUUAGUAACGUGUCGUUUAGUAACGGAACGAAAGGCUCGUUACUAAAGUAAA